Molecule: ribosomal RNA, 531 nt
Filed under: uncultured bacterium
Lineage: Bacteria
Description: bacterial SSU rRNA
Rfam family: Bacterial small subunit ribosomal RNA
Source: RNAcentral
AGAGUUUGAUCCUGGCUCAGGAUGAACGCUGGCGGCAUGCCUAAUACAUGCAAGUCGAACGAGAGACCUUCGGGUCUCUAGUGGCGAACGGGUGAGUAACACGUAGGGAACCUGCCCGCGCACCGGGAAUACGCUCUGGAAACGGAGAACAAAUCCCGAUGUACAGGAAGGAGGCAUCUUCUUUCUGUGAAACAUCCUCUAGGGGAUGGGGCGCGGAUGGACCUGCGGUGCAUUAGUUGGUUGGCGGGGUAAAGGCCCACCAAGACGAUGAUGCAUAGCCGGCCUGAGAGGGCGGACGGCCACAUUGGGACUGAGACACGGCCCAGACUCCUGCGGGAGGCAGCAGUAGGGAAUUUUCGUCAAUGGGCGCAAGCCUGAACGAGCGAUGCCGCGUGAGUGAAGAAGGCCUUCGGGUCGUAAAGCUCUGUUGCGGGGGAAAAAAGGCAGCAUCAGGAAAUGGGUGCUGACUGAUGGUGCCCCGCCAGAAAGUCACGGCUAACUACGUGCCAGCAGCCGCGGUAAUACGUAGGU